RNAcentral lists this ribosomal RNA (253 nucleotides) under uncultured bacterium. RNAcentral describes it as "partial 16S ribosomal RNA". It matches the Rfam family "Bacterial small subunit ribosomal RNA", at positions 524 to 776 of the family's 1533-position model. The record is from RNAcentral.
UACGUAGGGGGCAAGCGUUGUCCGGAUUCAUUGGGCGUAAAGAGCGUGUAGGCGGCCAGAUAGGUCAGCUGUGAAAACUCGGGGCUCAACCCCGAGACGUCGGUUGAAACCAUCUGGCUAGAGUCCGGAAGAGGAGUGUGGAAUUUCCAGUGCAGGAGUGGAAUCCGUAGAUAUUGGAAGGAACACCGAUGGCGUAGGCAGUCUACUGGCAUGUUUCUGACACUGAGGCACGAAAGCGUGGGGAGCGAACCGG